This 454-nucleotide ribosomal RNA is filed under the name uncultured bacterium. RNAcentral's name for it is "partial 16S ribosomal RNA". It matches the Rfam family "Bacterial small subunit ribosomal RNA", at positions 28 to 507 of the family's 1533-position model. The record is from RNAcentral.
GAUGAACGCUGACAGAAUGCUUAACACAUGCAAGUCAACUUGAACUUCGGUUUGGGUGGCGGACGGGUGAGUAACGCGUAAAGAACUUGCCUCACAGAUAGGGACAACAUUUGGAAACGAAUGCUAAUACCUGAUAUUAUGAUUAUAUGGCAUCGUAUAAUUAUGAAAGCUAUAUGCGCUGUGAGAGAGCUUUGCGUCCCAUUAGCUAGUUGGAGAGGUAACGGCUCACCAAGGCGAUGAUGGGUAGCCGGCCUGAGAGGGUGAUCGGCCACAAGGGGACUGAGACACGGCCCUUACUCCUACGGGAGGCAGCAGUGGGGAAUAUUGGACAAUGGACCAAGAGUCUGAUCCAGCAAUUCCGUGUGCACGAUGAAGUUUUUCGGAAUGUAAAGUGCUUUCAGUUGGGAAGAAAAAAAUGACGGUACCAACAGAAGAAGUGACGGCUAAAUACGUG